UGCUCCUACGGGGGGCAGCAGUGAGGAAUAUUGGUCAAUGGGCGAGAGCCUGAACCAGCCAAGUCGCGUGAGGGAUGACGGUCCUAUGGAUUGUAAACCUCUUUUGUCAGGGAGCAAAGGGCGCCACGUGUGGCGCUUUGCGAGUACCUGAAGAAAAAGCAUCGGCUAACUCCGUGCCAGCAGCCGCGGUAAUACGGAGGAUGCGAGCGUUAUCCGGAUUUAUUGGGGUUAAAGGGUGCGCAGGCGGAAUGUCAAGUCAGCGGUAAAAUUUCGGGGCUCAACCCCGGCGUGCCGUUGAAACUGGC
This 305-nucleotide ribosomal RNA is filed under the name uncultured bacterium. RNAcentral's name for it is "bacterial SSU rRNA". It matches the Rfam family "Bacterial small subunit ribosomal RNA", at positions 334 to 637 of the family's 1533-position model. The record is from RNAcentral.